CUACGGGCGGCUGCAGUGGGGAAUAUUGGACAAUGGACCAAAAGUCUGAUCCAGCAAUUCUGUGUGCACGAUGACGGUUUUCGGAUUGUAAAGUGCUUUCAACAGGGAAGAAGUUCUGACGGUACCUGUAGAAGAAGCGACGGCUAAAUACGUGCCAGCAGCCGCGGUAAUACGUAUGUCGCAAGCGUUAUCCGGAUUUAUUGGGCAUAAAGGGCAUCUAGGUGGCUUAGUAAGUCUGAUGUGAAAAUGCGGGGCUCAACUCCGUAUUGCGUUGGAAACUACUAAGCUAGAGUAUUGGAGAGGUAGGCGGAACUACAUGUGUAGAGGUGAAAUUCGUAGAUAUAUGUAGGAAUGCCGAUGACGAAGGUAGCUUACUGGACAAUUACUGACGCUGAAGUGCGAAAGCUAGGGGAGCAAACAGGAUUAGAUACCCCGGUAGUC
This 441-nucleotide ribosomal RNA is filed under the name uncultured bacterium. RNAcentral describes it as "partial 16S ribosomal RNA". It matches the Rfam family "Bacterial small subunit ribosomal RNA", at positions 339 to 795 of the family's 1533-position model. The record is from RNAcentral.